GAGAGAAGAGAAAAUGCUUGAAAGAGGAAGAAACAUCGUCACUCGAAUGCAAAUCUCAAUUCUUUUAAAAGUGAAGGCUACUCGAUAAAAAUCUUGGCCUUGUUCUUGGGUUUUCGAUGAAAUCGUGGAAAAAGGAAUUCGAUGUUGAAAAAUAUGCAUUCACUUUUAAGCCGAACACGUCGUACUAUUAUUUCCCG
Molecule: long non-coding RNA, 197 nt
Organism: Apis dorsata (giant honeybee)
Lineage: Eukaryota; Metazoa; Arthropoda; Insecta; Hymenoptera; Apidae
Exons: 4
Source: RefSeq, a predicted model, not a curated record